CCUACGGGGAGCAGCAGUGGGGAAUAUUGCACAAUGGGGGAAACCCUGAUGCAGCGACGCCGCGUGAGUGAAGAAGUAUCUCGGUACGUAAAGCUCUAUCAACAGGGAAAAAAAUGACGGUACCUGACUAAGAAGCCCCGGCUAACUACGUGCCAGCAGCCGCGGUACUACGUAGGGUGCAAGCGUUAUCCGGAUUUACUGGGUGUAAAGGGAGCGUAGACGGCAGCACAAGUCUGGAGUGAAAUCCCGGGGCUUAACCCCGGAACUGCUUUGGAAACUGGGCGGCUGGAGUGCAGGAGGGGUAAGCGGAAUGCCUAGUGUAGCGGUGAAAUGCUUAGAUAUUAGGCGGAACCCCGGUGGCGAAGGCGGCUUACCGGACCGUAACUGACGUUGAGGCUCGAAAGCGUGGGGAGCAAACAGGAGUAGAUACCCCAGUAGUC
This 440-nucleotide ribosomal RNA is filed under the name uncultured bacterium. RNAcentral's name for it is "partial 16S ribosomal RNA". It matches the Rfam family "Bacterial small subunit ribosomal RNA", at positions 338 to 795 of the family's 1533-position model. The record is from RNAcentral.